UUGAACGCUGGCGGCAUGCCUUACACAUGCAAGUCGAACGGCAGCACGGGUGCUUGCACCUGGUGGCGAGUGGCGAACGGGUGAGUAAUACAUCGGAACAUAUCCUGUAGUGGGGGAUAGCCCGGCGAAAGCCGGAUUAAUACCGCAUACGAUCUACGGAUGAAAGCGGGGGACCUUCGGGCCUCGCGCUAUAGGGUUGGCCGAUGGCUGAUUAGCUAGUUGGUGGGGUAAAGGCCUACCAAGGCGACGAUCAGUAGCUGGUCUGAGAGGACGACCAGCCACACUGGGACUGAGACACGGCCCAGACUCCUACGGGAGGCAGCAGUGGGGAAUUUUGGACAAUGGGCGAAAGCCUGAUCCAGCAAUGCCGCGUGUGUGAAGAAGGCCUUCGGGUUGUAAAGCACUUUUGUCCGGAAAGAAAUCCUUGGCCCUAAUACGGUCGGGGGAUGACGGUACCGGAAGAAUAAGCACCGGCUAACUACGUG
RNAcentral lists this ribosomal RNA (485 nucleotides) under uncultured bacterium. Its description in RNAcentral is "partial 16S ribosomal RNA". It matches the Rfam family "Bacterial small subunit ribosomal RNA", at positions 30 to 507 of the family's 1533-position model. The record is from RNAcentral.